GUCGAGCGGAGAUGAGGUGCUUGCACCUUAUCUUAGCGGCGGACGGGUGAGUAAUGCUUAGGAAUCUGCCUAUUAGUGGGGGACAACAUUCCGAAAGGAAUGCUAAUACCGCAUACGUCCUACGGGAGAAAGCAGGGGAUCUUCGGACCUUGCGCUAAUAGAUGAGCCUAAGUCGGAUUAGCUAGUUGGUGGGGUAAAGGCCUACCAAGGCGACGAUCUGUAGCGGGUCUGAGAGGAUGAUCCGCCACACUGGGACUGAGACACGGCCCAGACUCCUACGGGAGGCAGCAGUGGGGAAUAUUGGACAAUGGGGGGAACCCUGAUCCAGCCAUGCCGCGUGUGUGAAGAAGGCCUUAUGGUUGUAAAGCACUUUAAGCGAGGAGGAGGCUACUGAGACUAAUACUCUUGGAUAGUGGACGUUACUCGCAGAAUAAGCACCGGCUAACUCUGUGCCAGCAGCCGCGGUAAUACAGAGGGUGCGAGCGUUAAUCGGAUUUACUGGGCGUAAAGCGUGCGUAGGCGGCUUUUUAAGUCGGAUGUGAAAUCCCCGAGCUUAACUUGGGAAUUGCAUUCGAUACUGGGAAGCUAGAGUAUGGGAGAGGAUGGUAGAAUUCCAGGUGUAGCGGUGAAAUGCGUAGAGAUCUGGAGGAAUACUCGAUGGCGAAGGCAGCCAUCUGGNCUAAUACUGACGCUGAGGUACGAAAGCAUGGGGAGCAAACAGGAUUAGAUACCCUGGUAGUCCAUGCCGUAAACGAUGNUCUACUAGCCGUUGGGGNCUUUGAGGCUUUAGUGGCGCAGCUAACGCGAUAAGUAGACCG
This 818-nucleotide ribosomal RNA is filed under the name Acinetobacter junii. Its description in RNAcentral is "bacterial SSU rRNA". It matches the Rfam family "Bacterial small subunit ribosomal RNA", at positions 61 to 871 of the family's 1533-position model. Lineage: Bacteria; Pseudomonadati; Pseudomonadota; Gammaproteobacteria; Moraxellales; Moraxellaceae. The record is from RNAcentral.